Long non-coding RNA from Hippopotamus amphibius kiboko, 240 nucleotides. RefSeq lists it as uncharacterized. The record is from RefSeq and is a predicted model, not a curated record. The transcript is spliced from 3 exons. Lineage: Eukaryota; Metazoa; Chordata; Mammalia; Artiodactyla; Hippopotamidae.
CAAACCGGUGUCAAUGGUUAACCCAGGUGCAUGGUGUCUGGAGCUUUUCUUUCCUGUAUUAUUAACUGAAGGACAUUUUCACCACUGCCCAGCUGUGAGCACCCAGCUCACAGAUCCUCUAUGGGGAGAGUGAAGACAGGAAGCAGCAGUGCUGUGUAUCCAGUGAUGUAAAUAUCAGUGUCGAAUGAAAUACAAUGAAGAGAAUUUAAUUUCCGGUACCAGGGCUAUGGGGGAUCGAGG